UGUAAAAUAAGCUAAAUUGUAAGCUUUUGGGUUCAUACCCCAAAUAUGAAUGAUCUAUUCUUUUACAA
Molecule: transfer RNA, 68 nt
Filed under: Conus tulipa (tulip cone)
Lineage: Eukaryota; Metazoa; Mollusca; Gastropoda; Neogastropoda; Conidae
Description: tRNA-Met
Rfam family: tRNA
About the family: Transfer RNA (tRNA) molecules are approximately 80 nucleotides in length. Their secondary structure includes four short double-helical elements and three loops (D, anti-codon, and T loops). Further hydrogen bonds mediate the characteristic L-shaped molecular structure. tRNAs have two regions of fundamental functional importance: the anti-codon, which is responsible for specific mRNA codon recognition, and the 3' end, to which the tRNAs corresponding amino acid is attached (by aminoacyl-tRNA synthetases). tRNAs cope with the degeneracy of the genetic code in two manners: having more than one tRNA (with a specific anti-codon) for a particular amino acid; and 'wobble' base-pairing, i.e. permitting non-standard base-pairing at the 3rd anti-codon position.
Source: RNAcentral